This 398-nucleotide ribosomal RNA is filed under the name Cyanoptila cyanomelana. Its description in RNAcentral is "partial 12S ribosomal RNA". It matches the Rfam family "Bacterial small subunit ribosomal RNA", at positions 794 to 1384 of the family's 1533-position model. The record is from RNAcentral. Lineage: Eukaryota; Metazoa; Chordata; Aves; Passeriformes; Muscicapidae.
GCCUGACCCUAAAUCUUGAUAUUCCACCCUACUUGAAUAUCCGCCCGAGAACUACGAGCACAAACGCUUAAAACUCUAAGGACUUGGCGGUGCCCCAAACCCACCUAGAGGAGCCUGUUCUGUAAUCGAUGAUCCACGAUACUACCUGACCAUUUCUUGCUCAAAACAGCCUAUAUACCGCCGUCGCCAGCUCACCUUCCCUGACAGCCCAACAGUGAGCGCAAUAGCCCAACCACGCUAAUAAGACAGGUCAAGGUAUAGCCUAUGGAAUGGAAGCAAUGGGCUACAUUUUCUAAACUAGAACAUAACGGCAAAGGGACAUGAAACUGUCCCUAGAAGGCGGAUUUAGCAGUAAAGUGGGACAAUUGAGCCCUCUUUAAGCCGGCUCUGGGGCACGU